This 838-nucleotide ribosomal RNA is filed under the name Bacillus sp. PS-50. RNAcentral's name for it is "bacterial SSU rRNA". It matches the Rfam family "Bacterial small subunit ribosomal RNA", at positions 510 to 1348 of the family's 1533-position model. The record is from RNAcentral. Lineage: Bacteria; Bacillati; Bacillota; Bacilli; Caryophanales; Bacillaceae.
AGCAGCCGCGGUAAUACGUAGGUGGCAAGCGUUGUCCGGAAUUAUUGGGCGUAAAGGGCUCGCAGGCGGUUUCUUAAGUCUGAUGUGAAAGCCCCCGGCUCAACCGGGGAGGGUCAUUGGAAACUGGGAAACUUGAGUGCAGAAGAGGAGAGUGGAAUUCCACGUGUAGCGGUGAAAUGCGUAGAGAUGUGGAGGAACACCAGUGGCGAAGGCGACUCUCUGGUCUGUAACUGACGCUGAGGAGCGAAAGCGUGGGGAGCGAACAGGAUUAGAUACCCUGGUAGUCCACGCCGUAAACGAUGAGUGCUAAGUGUUAGGGGGUUUCCGCCCCUUAGUGCUGCAGCUAACGCAUUAAGCACUCCGCCUGGGGAGUACGGUCGCAAGACUGAAACUCAAAGGAAUUGACGGGGGCCCGCACAAGCGGUGGAGCAUGUGGUUUAAUUCGAAGCAACGCGAAGAACCUUACCAGGUCUUGACAUCCUCUGACAACCCUAGAGAUAGGGCUUUCCCUUCGGGGACAGAGUGACAGGUGGUGCAUGGUUGUCGUCAGCUCGUGUCGUGAGAUGUUGGGUUAAGUCCCGCAACGAGCGCAACCCUUGAUCUUAGUUGCCAGCAUUCAGUUGGGCACUCUAAGGUGACUGCCGGUGACAAACCGGAGGAAGGUGGGGAUGACGUCAAAUCAUCAUGCCCCUUAUGACCUGGGCUACACACGUGCUACAAUGGACAGAACAAAGGGCUGCGAGACCGCAAGGUUUAGCCAAUCCCACAAAUCUGUUCUCAGUUCGGAUCGCAGUCUGCAACUCGACUGCGUGAAGCUGGAAUCGCUAGUAAUCGCGAU